Molecule: transfer RNA, 88 nt
Filed under: Patescibacteria group bacterium
Lineage: Bacteria
Description: tRNA-Ser
Rfam family: tRNA
About the family: Transfer RNA (tRNA) molecules are approximately 80 nucleotides in length. Their secondary structure includes four short double-helical elements and three loops (D, anti-codon, and T loops).
Source: RNAcentral
GGAGGUGUCGCAUAGUGGUCAAUUGCACACGCCUGGAAAGCGUGAUCCUUCACGGGAUACAAGGGUUCGAACCCCUUCACCUCCGCCA